This 142-nucleotide unclassified non-coding RNA is filed under the name soil metagenome. Its description in RNAcentral is "partial internal transcribed spacer 1". The record is from RNAcentral.
UAAUAAGUGUUUUAUGGCACUUUAAAUCCAUAUCCACCUUGUGUGCAAUGUCAGUCGAUCUUCUUCAUGGAGAUCGACCAAACAUCAACCUUUAUCUUUUAACUCUUUGUCUGAAAAUAUUAUGAAUAAACAAUUCAAAAUA